This 408-nucleotide ribosomal RNA is filed under the name Triticum aestivum (bread wheat). RNAcentral's name for it is "partial small subunit ribosomal RNA". Lineage: Eukaryota; Viridiplantae; Streptophyta; Magnoliopsida; Poales; Poaceae. The record is from RNAcentral.
AUGCUUAAAAUUGAUCUUGCUAAGGCUUUCGAUCGUUUAGAAUGGAGCUUCAUUGUUUCAGCUCUUGCACGUAAAGGAUUGCAUGCUCAUUUCAUAAAUUUGAUUUAUGAGUGCAUUUCUUCUCCUACUUUUUUUGUGGUCAUUAAUGGUAGGCCUUCUCAUAAAUUCAAAAGUUCUAGGGGUAUUCGUCAAGGUUGUCCUAUGUCCCCUUAUUUGUUUGUUAUUGCCAUUAAUGAAUUAUCUCUUGCUCUUAACGAAGCUUUAGCUGCUCAUAGUCUUCAGGAUAUUUUGCUUGGACCAAAUUGCCCUCCGAUUCACUCUCUUUUGUUUGCAGAUGAUUUGUUGGUAUGUGGUCAAGCUACUGUUCAGGAAGUUAAUGCUAUGGCCAACAUUAUCAAUCAUUUUUGU